AUGAACGCUGGCGGCGUGCCUAAUACCUGCCAGUCGAGCGAACAGACGAGGAGCUUGCUCCUCUGACGUUAGCGGCGGACGGGUGAGUAACACGUGGAUAACCUACCUAUAAGCCUGGGAUAACUUCGGGAAACCGGAGCUAAUACCGGAUAAUAUAUUGAACCGCAUGGUUCAAUAGUGAAAGACGGUUUUGCUGUCACUUAUAGAUGGAUCCGCGCCGCAUUAGCUAGUUGGUAAGGUAACGGCUUACCAAGGCAACGAUGCGUAGCCGACCUGAGAGGGUGAUCGGCCACACUGGAACUGAGACACGGUCCAGACUCCUACGGGAGGCAGCAGUAGGGAAUCUUCCGCAAUGGGCGAAAGCCUGACGGAGCAACGCCGCGUGAGUGAUGAAGGUCUUCGGAUCGUAAAACUCUGUUAUUAGGGAAGAACAAAUGUGUAAGUAACUAUGCACGUCUUGACGGUACCUAAUCAGAAAGCCACGGCUAACUACGUG
RNAcentral lists this ribosomal RNA (496 nucleotides) under uncultured bacterium. RNAcentral describes it as "partial 16S ribosomal RNA". It matches the Rfam family "Bacterial small subunit ribosomal RNA", at positions 29 to 507 of the family's 1533-position model. The record is from RNAcentral.